AUUGAACGCUGGCGGCAGGCUCAACACAUGCAAGUCGAGCGGUAACAGAGAGAAGCUUGCUUCUCUGCUGACGAGCGGCGGACGGGUGAGUAAUGCCUAGGAAUCUGCCUAGUAGUGGGGGAUAACUUGCCGAAAGGUAAGCUAAUACCGCAUACGUCCUACGGGAGAAUGGAGGGGACCGUCGGGACUUUCGCUAUUAGAUGAGCCUAUGGCCUGUUAGCUAGUGGGUAGGGUAAAAGCCUACAAAGGCGAGGAGUGGUAGCCGGCCUGAGAGGGUGUACGGCCACACUGGAACUGAGACACGGUCCAGACUUCUACGGGAGGCAGCAGUGGAGAAUCUUGCACAAUGGGCGAAAGCCUGAUGCAGCGACGCCGCGUGGAGGAUGAAGGUUUUCGGAUUGUAAACUCCUGUUAAGUGGGAAGAAAGAUUCAUACCUAAUACGUAUGGAGGAUGACGGUACCACUAGAGAAAGCACCGGCAAACUUCGUGCCAGCCGCCGCGGUAA
RNAcentral lists this ribosomal RNA (506 nucleotides) under uncultured bacterium. Its description in RNAcentral is "partial 16S ribosomal RNA". It matches the Rfam family "Bacterial small subunit ribosomal RNA", at positions 30 to 523 of the family's 1533-position model. The record is from RNAcentral.